AUGGUACUCGGUGGUGCACACCUUUGGCCCCUGCCACUGCGCUCGGGAGUCCGCCGGCGGGUGCCAGGUAGCUUUGCGCCCGGUUCCUUCUCUCUGGCUUUCCGAUUCGAAUUUGGCUGUGCCGGGGCGAGGGGCUUCCCGGAACUCUCGCGAGGUGGCCGCACGCUGAGAUUGUAUCGAUGCUAGGUAACUCUGUCUUCUUUGUGCCUAAAAUGGUAAUCUCCUUGACCCUGCAGUAUGUUUAAGAAGCAUUUUACUUUUACAAAUAUGCUUCAGCCCUUACAUAUAUGAAGGAAGAGUGAAUGAAUU
Non-coding RNA from Python bivittatus (Burmese python), 309 nucleotides. The record is from RefSeq and is a predicted model, not a curated record. Lineage: Eukaryota; Metazoa; Chordata; Lepidosauria; Squamata; Pythonidae.